RNAcentral lists this long non-coding RNA (2393 nucleotides) under Equus caballus (horse). RNAcentral's name for it is "lncRNA (ENSECAG00000045497.1)". Lineage: Eukaryota; Metazoa; Chordata; Mammalia; Perissodactyla; Equidae. The record is from RNAcentral.
UUGGAAAGGAUGUGGAGAAUCUGGGAAUCUAAUAUAAUGUUGGUGGGUGUAAAAUUGUACCACCACUUUAGAACAUAAUUUGGCAGUUUCUUAACAACUUAAAUAUUUCCCUAUCAACUGUCGAGGCACUGUACUCCUAGUUAUUAACUCAAGAGAAAGGCAACGUAGCUUCAUAGAAAGACUUCACUAUGAAUUUUAUAGCAGCUUAAUUUUUCAUAGCCUCAAACUGCAAACAACCCAAAUGUCAAUUAACAGAUGAAUGGAUACAUAAAUUGUGUUACAGUCAUACAAUAGAACACUCCUCAGCAAUAAAAAGAAUGAGCUACUGAUACAAACAACAUGGAUGGAUCUCACAAUAAUUAUGCUGCAUGAAAAGAACUGUACAAAAGGGAGUCAAUACUUGAUGAUUAAAUUUAUAUAAAAUUCAAGAAAAAGCAAUUUAAUCUAUAGUGAAAGUAACAAAUAAAGUCACCUGGGGAUAAGAGCCAGGGAAGGCACUGGCAAUGACCUAACUCUAGGAAGGGCUCUGGGCAGGUGAGAAACUGCAAUUGUAGCUUCUGAAAGCUUACCACAUACCUGGCACCCAUCAGGCAUCUCUCCAGCAUGGAGGUUCAGAUGUAUGAUGCUCUAACUUCUGGCAGAUGAUGCCUUCACAAAGGGUAAUCUCAGAGCUGCCCUCUGGUAUGAGCUAUGUUGAACAGGGAGACAGCAUAUCCACUGCACUCCUAAGAACUUUCUCCAGUGUGAACUUUCUGGUGCUGAAUGACAUCAUGCCUUUAUAUGGCUUUUCUCUAAUCUGAACGUUCUGGUGCACGAACUUACAGAUGCAGCUGAAAGCACUCCAACACUGGCUACACUGAUAAAGCCUUUUUGUUCUGGUGCAGAACAAGAAAGCUCCUGGUGAAGGCUUUCCCGCAGUUGCUGCACUCCUGAGGCCUCUCCCGUGUGAAUUCUGCAGUGCUGAAUGCAGCAGGAGCUUUGGCUAAUGAAUUUCCCAUAUUUGUCAUCCACGUAACACCUAUCACCAGUGAACCAGUUUCUAGUGUGCAAUAAGAAUGCAGCUUUAGCUAAAGACUUUCACACAUUAAUAGCACACACGAGGCCCUUCUGCACUGUGGAUCCUCUGGUGCUGAACAAGGGGGUCUUUGCAGCUGAAGGCUUUCCCACAUCGCUGUACUCAUGGGGCUUUGCUCCAGUGUGCUUUCUCUGGUGCUGAACAAGGUGGAAGCUUCCAUAGGAUUUUCCACAUUCAGGGCACUUGUAAGGCCUUUCUGUAGUGUGGAUUCUCUGGUGCUGAACAAGAGCGUCUUUGUGGCUGAAGGCUUUCCCACAUGUGCUACACUUGUGAUUCCUUUGUCUAGUGUGAAAGGCUCCCCACAUGCAGAGCCCCUGUGUGGCUUGCUCCUGGUGUGAGGGGCCUCUUGCUGGAAAAUGCCUUAGCUGGCCGAGAAAUCCUUCCCAGUAUCCCUACAUGUGGAGGGUUUCUCUGACAUGUAGGCUCUGCAGCUCUUCAUAAACAAGGCCCUGCCUUCAUUCCUGCCGAAGAGUUCUCUCCACUCUGCUGCUUUGGGUGUGCUGAACGAGAACUAUUUCCCACAUGCCUCACCUGGGAGCGGUUUCUCCACAAGGGCGUGUCCCCAGAUGCUCAGCCAGGUGCAAACCAUCUUUCAAGAUGGGGCCACACAUCUCUCUGGGGUAGGCCUUCUAGGUGGAAACUCCUAAGAAACUUUUUCUAUAGAAACAUUGUGCCCAGAAGAUGUUUCUCCAUCUUCCACACCACACAAACAACCUGAAAGCAGAGAAAUGUUGGUGAAAUGUAUUUUGGUAGGAAGUGGCAGUCCCAACACAAAUGUGUAACAGACACACUCAGGAAGGAGUCCACGGGAUUGAUGGCAGAGUACGGAAGCUGGGUCAGGGUGAGGAAGGGCCUUGGAGCAGUGCUGGAGCUGUUAAGGUCAGAGAAUUGGGCAGCCUCUCCAGGGACAAACACCCAACAAUGAGGUAAAGUGCAGAGGAGAGAAGCAAGGUGACCAACACGUUCCCCUGCAUCAGAUUUCAGCAGGGUCUUGUCUGCUAGUAACAGUUAAGUGCUGUGCAGAAGGGUGUGCCCCGGCCCAGAAAAAUGUGAAAUACAGUCAAUCCUCACUAUUAGCAUAUUCUGUAUUUGCAAGUUUGCCUAUUCACCAAAACUUAUUUGUAACCCCAAAAUCAAUACUUUCAUACUUUCACAGUCACUUGAGCACAUACACAUGCAGAGAACAGCAAAAAAUUUGAGUUGUCCAAUAAGCAUGUUCCCAGCUGAGGUCGAACAAGGUGAUGCUCUGCCUUCUUGUUUCAGUGCCAUUAGGUAAACAAGUGUCCUGUGUGUGAUAUAUUUACUGCCAUGUUUUUAG